RNAcentral lists this long non-coding RNA (274 nucleotides) under Elaeis guineensis (African oil palm). RNAcentral describes it as "long non-coding RNA (EGUI_LNC062419)". Lineage: Eukaryota; Viridiplantae; Streptophyta; Magnoliopsida; Arecales; Arecaceae. The record is from RNAcentral.
UUGGCGAUUUAAACCCCCUACUCUUCCUUCGGGGCUUCAUCCUGCCGAGAGGACGACACCUUUCUUUCGUCUGAGAGCCUAGCUACUCAGCCACAUCCUCCGCACCGGUCCUUGCCAUCUUCAGCCCCUCGAUUCUUCUCUAAGGGGUUCCCACGUCAUGUCCUCCAUCCCGGAGGCCAUCCUCGAAGGGAUGUCUAGGGCUUGGAGGAAGGCGAGGAGGAGAACAGCGGUCGGUGAGUUCUCCGGUCAUCAAGUGGCCGCUGAGGAUCCCCAU